RNAcentral lists this ribosomal RNA (253 nucleotides) under uncultured bacterium. Its description in RNAcentral is "partial 16S ribosomal RNA". It matches the Rfam family "Bacterial small subunit ribosomal RNA", at positions 524 to 776 of the family's 1533-position model. The record is from RNAcentral.
UACGUAGGGCGCAAGCGUUAUCCGGAAUUAUUGGGCGUAAAGAGCUCGUAGGCGGUUUGUCGCGUCUGCCGUGAAAGUCCGGGGCUCAACUCCGGAUCUGCGGUGGAUACGGGCAGACUAGAGUGAUGUAGGGGAGACUGGAAUUCCUGGUGUAGCGGUGAAAUGCGCAGAUAUCAGGAGGAACACCGAUGGCGAAGGCAGGUCUCUGGGCAUUAACUGACGCUGAGGAGCGAAAGCAUGGGGAGCGAACAGG